UACAGAGGGUGCAAGCGUUAAUCGGAAUUACUGGGCGUAAAGCGCACGCAGGCGGAUAUUUAAGUUGGAUGUGAAAUCCCUGGGCUUAACCUAGGAAUUGCAUUCGAUACUGGGUAUCUAGAGUAUGGUAGAGGAAAGUGGAACUCCCGGUGUAGCGGUGAAAUGCGUAGAUAUCGGGAAGAACACCAGUGGCGAAAGCGGCUUUCUGGACCAAUACUGACGCUCAGGUGCGAAAGCGUGGGGAGCAAACAGG
RNAcentral lists this unclassified non-coding RNA (253 nucleotides) under uncultured Gammaproteobacteria bacterium. RNAcentral describes it as "contains 16S-23S intergenic spacer region". It matches the Rfam family "Bacterial small subunit ribosomal RNA", at positions 524 to 776 of the family's 1533-position model. Lineage: Bacteria; Pseudomonadati; Pseudomonadota; Gammaproteobacteria. The record is from RNAcentral.